CCCCUAGUAACUGCGAGUGAAGCGGGAAAAGCUCAAAUUUCAAAUCUGGCGGUUCCGCCGUCCGAGUUGUAUUCUGGAGAAGCGUCUUCUGUGCCGGACCGUGUACAAGUCCCUUGGAACAGGGCGUCGUAGAGGGUGAGAAUCCCGUCUUUGACACGGACCGCCGGUGCUAUGCGAUGCGCUCUCGACGAGUCGAGUUGUUUGGGAAUGCAGCUCAAAAUGGGUGGUAAAUUCCAUCUAAAGCUAAAUAUUGGCGAGAGACCGAUAGCGAACAAGUACCGUGAGGGAAAGAUGAAAAGCACUUUGGAAAGAGAGUAAAACAGUACGUGAAAUUGUUGAAAGGGAAACGCUUGAAGUCAGUCGCGUCUGCCGGAACUCAGCCUUGCUCACGCUUGGCGCACUUUCCGGUCCGACGGGCCAGCAUCGGUUUCGAGCGGCGGACACUGGCGGGGGGAAGGUGGCAGCUCCGGCUGUGUUAUAGCCCUCCGUCGCAAACGYCGCCCGGGACCGAGGAAUCCGGCGCGAGCCUGGGAUGCUGGCGUAAUGGCUUUAAACGACCCGUCUUGAAACACGGACCAAGGAGUGCUACGYGCUCGCGAGUGUUUGGGUGGAAAACCCGGACGCGCAAUGAAAGUGAAAGUCGAUACCCCUCGCGGGGGCACCGACGCCCGAGCCUGAUGUUUUCGGACGGCCUUGCGGUAGAGCGAGUGCGUUGCGACCCGAAAGAUGGUGAACUAUUCCUGAGGAGGGCGAAGCCAGAGGAAACUCUGGUGGAGGCUCGUAGCGGUUCUGACGUGCAAAUCGAUCGCAGGACUUGGG
This 819-nucleotide ribosomal RNA is filed under the name Trechispora fissurata. RNAcentral's name for it is "Trechispora sp. WZ-2020c partial large subunit ribosomal RNA". Lineage: Eukaryota; Fungi; Basidiomycota; Agaricomycetes; Trechisporales; Hydnodontaceae. The record is from RNAcentral.